This 741-nucleotide ribosomal RNA is filed under the name Sugiyamaella grinbergsii. Its description in RNAcentral is "LSU rRNA". The stretch from base 127 to 741 matches the Rfam family "Eukaryotic large subunit ribosomal RNA", at positions 1 to 636 of the family's 3401-position model. The record is from RNAcentral. Lineage: Eukaryota; Fungi; Ascomycota; Dipodascomycetes; Dipodascales; Trichomonascaceae.
UUGCCUACGAGUUGAAAUAUAUUGGCUAAGCAUUCUUUAGUAUUUUACAACGUAUUAGGUUUUACCAACUCGUUGGGCAAGUAUUUUGGAAAAAACGCUGGGCGAUAGAACAGAACUUUUAAAAUUUGACCUCAAAUCAGGCAGGAAUACCCGCUGAACUUAAGCAUAUCAAUAAGCGGAGGAAAAGAAACCAACAGGGAUUGCCUUAGUAACGGCGAGUGAAGCGGCAAAAGCUCAAAUUUGAAAUCUGGCACCUUUGGUGUCCGAGUUGUAAUUUGAAGAAGGUAACUUUGAGUUUGGUCCUUGCAUAUGUUCCUUGGAACAGGACGUCAUAGAGGGUGAGAAUCCCGUUCUGUGAGGUGGCCAUUCUCUUGUAAAGUGCUUUCGAAGAGUCGAGUUGUUUGGGAAUGCAGCUCUAAGUGGGUGGUAAAUUCCAUCUAAAGCUAAAUAUUGGCGAGAGACCGAUAGCGAACAAGUACAGUGAUGGAAAGAUGAAAAGAACUUUGAAAAGAGAGUGAAAAAGUACGUGAAAUUGUUGAAAGGGAAGGGCUUGAAAUCAGACUUGGUAUUCAGUGAUCAACUAUCUUUCGGGAUUGUGCACUCGCUGUUUACUGGGCCAGUAUCGGUUUUGACGGUGAGAUAAUGGUGUUGGAAUGUGGCUCUUCGGAGUGUUAUAGCCUUCAUUGAUAUCACCAGUUGGGACCGAGGACCGCGCUUUAUAGCUAGGAUACUGGCGUAAUG